UUGGUAACAUGAAGCAGACUGCAGUCCAUGGCUAAGCUUCAGGAGGUCUUUUUAUAAGGCCCCGUCCUGACCAAGACUCUUUCACGGUUGUCCAAACAUUUCCUUUUGGUCUAUGGAAUGGAGUAGGUCAUAGUGUGUGGGGCUUCUAGAACCUUCCCACAGUGUGUGUCCACUAUGGCAGUGCCCCAGAGGCUAUCUUGAAGACAGCCCUGAAGGCCAAAGGGGAGUUGAGUCAAGAAGAAAGAAAAAUGAAGAAAGCAAAGAACAAAUAAGGAAAGGUCUCUGAAGUGUUUGAAGACCAUAUAUCUAUCUAAAACAUUGAAAACAUUCCUAACAUGACCACAAAUUUGAUUGCUACAGAUGGGACAGAAGAGGGCACCAGAUCUCAUCAUAGAUGGUUGUGAGCCAC
Long non-coding RNA from Mesocricetus auratus (golden hamster), 409 nucleotides. RefSeq lists it as uncharacterized. Lineage: Eukaryota; Metazoa; Chordata; Mammalia; Rodentia; Cricetidae. The transcript has 3 exons. The record is from RefSeq and is a predicted model, not a curated record.